Molecule: transfer RNA, 40 nt
Filed under: Hygrophila corymbosa
Lineage: Eukaryota; Viridiplantae; Streptophyta; Magnoliopsida; Lamiales; Acanthaceae
Description: partial tRNA-His
Source: RNAcentral
AUGUAGCCAAGUGGAUCAAGGCAGUGGANUGUGAAUCCAC